RNAcentral lists this long non-coding RNA (923 nucleotides) under Bemisia tabaci. RNAcentral's name for it is "lncRNA ENSSSA2NGG008563". Lineage: Eukaryota; Metazoa; Arthropoda; Insecta; Hemiptera; Aleyrodidae. The record is from RNAcentral.
AUGUUUGCUUGUAGUCCAACAAAAACUUGGAAAAAUAAGAGAAUGUCAUCCAGACUUUCAGCGCUUGACUUGAUAAUAUAUUCUUUAAAUUUUUCAGGCGUACAAUAAAUUAAUUGCCAAACAAGAAUUAAAAUUAGAAGAGGACAAAAAGGAUAUGGAACGUGUCUAUCACGAGUUUAAUUCUGCAUACCGUGAAAAAUCUAGAGAGAUCAGAAAAACUAGAGUUGCAACAGCGAAUUUGAUGGAAAACAUUGACAAAGUAAAACUGGUGGAAGCUAAUCUUAGCGACACUCUGUACAAAUCUCUAGAAAAAGAUCGUGUAUCAGCCCAAAAUAGAUCAACUCUUCAGGAGUUACCGAAAGAUUGUCUUUCUCACAGAAUCUGGAAAAAUUCUCUCCCUUGCAAUUAUCACAAGACUUGAAAGAUCAACCCCCCAAAUCUAUCUUGAAGAAAAAGGUAGGUGAAAACAAGGAAAAGCCACCUAAGAAACCGGAAUCCAAAGAAAAUGCAGAUCCUAAGAAAAAGGACCCAUACUUUCCAAACUUGGAUGAAUGAUCUAGCGAUAUCAGAAUAUCAGAAUAUAUAUAAAAUCAGAAACCAAAAGUCUAGAAUUGAUGAAGUGAAAUAAACUUACUAAAUUUUCAAGAAUUAUGAGGCUUUAUGAGGCAAAAACCAAAUGCCUGCGUACAUAGUAUUUUUUAUGAGAAAAAUAAUUAUUAUCUAUCUUUACUUCUUUGAUCACAAAUUUUUAUGUUAAAUUAUUUGGCUCUAAUUUAGUAAUAACGACCUCUUUACGAUCCUUCUUAUGUACAACUUCAAACUUGUGAAGAAUAUUAGAAAUUUUUUUUUUUGUCCCACAUCUGCCUAUUUGGGGUUGAGACACAAACUGGGGUAUGUUACGGCACUAAACCGGCAGGUGCAGG